This 2093-nucleotide long non-coding RNA is filed under the name Monodelphis domestica (gray short-tailed opossum). Its description in RNAcentral is "lncRNA (ENSMODG00000046885.1)". Lineage: Eukaryota; Metazoa; Chordata; Mammalia; Didelphimorphia; Didelphidae. The record is from RNAcentral.
UCUUUUAAUGAAAGCAGUGACUGAAAAAUAUAAACAUGGAUAUAUACAUCCCGAUGAAUUGGCCUAAGAGUAACUUGUAAAAAUUGGAUUAAUGGUACAAAGCAUGUACUAUAUAAAAAUAGCCUGUAGAAAAAAGCAUUAAGCAAUUACAACUCCACCACUGAAGGCUCCAAUAUUAUAGGGUAAUAUUUCCUUAAUGUUAGACUUCAUUAACCCUAAGAUAAUCUCUCAUAAAUUUUGCUGAUUUUUAAGGAGAAAAAAAUAAAUUAUGUUUAUUAAACUGCUGAAUAUGUUUAUGAAAACAAGACAUAAUCUACUGCCAUAAACUUCUUGUCUUUAUCUGAAUGAUCAAGGAGCUCAUAAAUAAAAUAUCACAUAACAAAGUGAGUGUUAAAAUUCAUUACUGUAAUAGCCGUGCUCAUGAUCUAUUUCAUUAGCACUCCUCCUUCUCCUUGAAUAAAUGGGCUUCUUGGUCUACCAGAGCAAAGCCAUUUACAAGACAAAAUACUAAGCUGCUUUUUCUCAUUUUCCCUUAUCUGUUCUAUUCCUAACUUUCCAAAUUAAUUCUUCCCUUAAAUCUUAUUGUUCCUUCCAGUGUAACUCACAGAGCAUUAGAGAGAGUUGAAAGAAAUAUAAGCAAAGAAAUGGGCCUAGAGAGUAUAAGUUAAUUAGGGAUCUAAGUGAGUGGUGAUGAAAUUGGAUGACAGAGGCUUGAAGUGAAUUUAGAGGCUUAUCUUCUUAAAAUAUUUGAAAAAAUAUAUAAAUAAUAGAGUGCCAGGAAAUAUAUACUCUAUCAAGUCAUCUAAGAUAGCUUAAUAACUAAACCCCAUUUCCUCUUUAAUAACCUACAUAUUGCAGCACACUGAUUGUAUCCAACGUACAGGAUUGGCUGUCCUUUAUCCUUGGCGCUUUUGCAAGUAAUUUCAUUUUUAUUGAUGUGCCACUGUAUGUAUUUAUACUCAUACAUGCAGAGAGAGAGAGAGAGAGAGAGAGAGAGAGAGAGAGAGUUUGCUUCCUUAAAUGCUUAUUUCUUGUCUUCCUGAUCAAGCCAGGGCAUUAUAUUCCAUUGUCCCUCUAUUUGAGAAAUGAAUAGGACCAGAAUUUCAUCUCACAUUUUCCCUGCUAAGACCCUCCCUUAUCCCCUAUGGUACAAGCAAUUAGAAUGAUGAAAACACCUACAUGUGUACCACUCUCUCCCUGUCCCAUGACAGAAUCAUUCCUUAGGUCUUUAUUAUUCCUUUGGGACCAGAAAAAGAGGCUUCGGUGACAGUAGUAUCCUUUGGUACUAUUUGGGCACCUUAAUCACUAUCUGGUCUUCUCAGAGGAAAUUGUGGAUAAGGUGGUUUUAAUAGGUUCCUCUGUUCACUGUAUCCAAACAAAAGUUUUUAAAGAAAAGAAUUGACAACAUAAAUGAACAGAACUGUAAAACUUUGAAACUAAGUGUUAAGAAGUUAUAAGAAACAAACUUGAUCCCAGAGAAGAGAUAAAACACCUCCCAUUCUGCCCAAAGUAAGGGCCCAUAGGUGUAGAACACUGAAUGUAGUCAAUUUUUUCAUUUUAGUGAUGACUUUUGCUGCAUUUUUCCUCUUCUUUCUCUAUUAAAAAUAUUUAUUAUGAGGGAUGGUUAUCUAGGAGAAGGAGAAAGAAGGAUAUAAGGGGAAAUCUGAGUAAAUGAACAUUAUUUUUCAAUGUUAUUUAAAUUGUCAUACAUGGAGAUACCAAGAAAAUCUCUUUACACAGUAUUGAUGUUGGAGGCAGGCAGUAUCAUGUACAUCACAUCUUUCCUGCAAAACAUCAGACAUUUAGAUUAAGUAGAAGUUAUAUUUUAGAGGAUUAAAUUCAACAAAGCAUUUGGUACUGGUAUGUAGGUACAAGGAACUCUGCCAGGACCUAAAGAUAGAUGCAAAGCUGUAAAAUGUAAAAGUUCUUGCCCUUAAGGAACUUACAUUCCAUUGAGAGUUAUACCAUGUAGAUAGCUUAUUAAAUACAAAGCCAUUUGAAGAGGCAGAGUAUGUAAAUAGAAGGGAGAAGGGAUCUAAAAAGCCUACUUGGAAGAAAAGAUACCUCAACUGAGCUUUGAAGCAUGGGAAGAC